Molecule: long non-coding RNA, 623 nt
Filed under: Cyanistes caeruleus (blue tit)
Lineage: Eukaryota; Metazoa; Chordata; Aves; Passeriformes; Paridae
Description: lncRNA (ENSCCEG00000015939.1)
Source: RNAcentral
AUUCAUAUUUUUUUCUAAAGGAAAAUUCUUAAAGGAUUUGAAUUUUAUAAUAUUCAAAGGACAGAAAUAUUCAGGAUUUAAAUGAUUUAAAUUCACACUCAACAGGAGACUGAAUGACACAGGGAUUGCUGUUGGAUCGUGCAGUCUAUCACCUCCAUGGCACUGGGCCUAUCCAUCUUUCUAGGGUUUGCACAUCAGGUAAAAUUUCAGAAGAAAUUAAUGGAAGAGCUGCUAGUGACUAAAAUCGAAUCAGUAUUUCACCUCCACAUGACAUGGUUUGCUUCCUUCCAGCUAGCAUUAAAUAGCAAGCAGCAAAUAAAGACACAUUGCAGUGGAACCAACAACAAUUGUUUCUUCAGUCUGUGCACUUGACAAAUACCCUAAAAGAAGAUGUAUAAGGAUUCUCUUAUACUAAAUUUAGUAUAGGAAAUCUUUAAUAACUGGAACUGACUAUAAUUUCCUCCUUUAGACUGUUCUGUUUCGAUGUUUCAUAAAUCCUUGUAUUGAUUAACUUUACAUGGAAUGUUGUACAGCCCUAAACACAAGAAAUUAAACUGAAUGUCAGGUAAAUUUUAGCAGAGUUCUUCCAGCCAACACAGCAAAACAACAAAGCAAAAAAAUCA